This 254-nucleotide ribosomal RNA is filed under the name uncultured bacterium. RNAcentral's name for it is "partial 16S ribosomal RNA". It matches the Rfam family "Bacterial small subunit ribosomal RNA", at positions 524 to 776 of the family's 1533-position model. The record is from RNAcentral.
UACGUAGGGCGCAAGCGUUGUCCGGAAUUAUUGGGCGUAAAGAGCUCGUAGGCGGUUUGUCGCGUCUGCUGUGAAAACCUAAGGCUCAACCUUGGGCUUGCAGUGGGUACGGGCAGACUAGAGUGCGGUAGGGGUGACUGGAAUUCCUGGUGUAGCGGUGGAAUGCGCAGAUAUCAGGAGGAACACCAAUAGCGAAGGCAGCUCGCUGGGACGUUACUGACACUGAGGCGCGAAAGCGUGGGGGAGCGAACAGG